UACGAGGGGGGCUAGCGUUGCUCGGAAUCACUGGGCGUAAAGGGUGCGUAGGCGGGUCUUUAAGUCAGAGGUGAAAUCCUGGAGCUCAACUCCAGAACUGCCUUUGAUACUGAGGAUCUUGAGUUCGGGAGAGGUGAGUGGAACUGCGAGUGUAGAGGUGAAAUUCGUAGAUAUUCGCAAGAACACCAGUGGCGAAGGCGGCUCACUGGCCCGAUACUGACGCUGAGGCACGAAAGCGUGGGGAGCAAACAGG
RNAcentral lists this ribosomal RNA (253 nucleotides) under uncultured bacterium. RNAcentral's name for it is "partial 16S ribosomal RNA". It matches the Rfam family "Bacterial small subunit ribosomal RNA", at positions 524 to 776 of the family's 1533-position model. The record is from RNAcentral.